GAUGAACGCUGGCGGCGUGCCUAAUACAUGCAAGUCGAGCGAACAGACGAGGAGCUUGCUCCUCUGACGUUAGUGGCGGACGGGUGAGUAAAACGUGGAUAACCUACCUAUAAGACUGGGAUAACUUCGGGAAACCGGAGCUAAAACCGGAUAAUAUAUUGAACCGCAUGGUUCAUUAUUGAAAGACGGUUUUGCUGUCACUUAUAGAUGGAUCCGCGCCGCAUUAGCUAGUUGGUAAGGUAACGGCUUACCAAGGCAACGAUGCGUAGCCGACCUGAGAGGGUGAUCGGCCACACUGGAACUGAGACACGGUCCAGACUCCUACGGGAGGCAGCAGUAGGGAAUCUUCCGCAAUGGGCGAAAGCCUGACGGAGCAACGCCGCGUGAGUGAUGAAGGUCUUCGGAUCGUAAAACUCUGUUAUUAGGGAAGAACAAAUGUGUAAGUAACUAUGCACGUCUUGACGGUACCUAAUCAGAAAGCCACGGCUAACUACGUG
RNAcentral lists this ribosomal RNA (497 nucleotides) under uncultured bacterium. RNAcentral's name for it is "partial 16S ribosomal RNA". It matches the Rfam family "Bacterial small subunit ribosomal RNA", at positions 28 to 507 of the family's 1533-position model. The record is from RNAcentral.